Molecule: unclassified non-coding RNA, 311 nt
Filed under: fungal sp.
Lineage: Eukaryota; Fungi
Also listed under: 1 other name
Description: partial internal transcribed spacer region
Rfam family: Eukaryotic small subunit ribosomal RNA (bases 1-46)
Source: RNAcentral
AAGUCGUAACAAGGUUUCCGUAGGUGAACCUGCGGAAGGAUCAUUAAUGAAUAACUUUGGCGUGGUUGUAGCUGGCUCCUUGGAGCAUGUGCACACCCGUCAUCUUUAUCUUUCCACCUGUGCACUACAUGUAGAUCUGGAUAACUCUCGCCCUCGGGCGGAAACAGGGACUGCUGCGUCGAAAGGCCGGCUCUCCUUGAAUUUCCAGGUCUAUGUCUUUACAAACCCCAAUUGAAUGACGAAGAAUGAAGUCAAUGGGCUCUAAGCCUAUAAAACUUAUACAACUUUCAGCAACGGAUCUCUUGGCUCUC